UACGUAGGGUGCAAGCGUUGUCCGGAAUUAUUGGGCGUAAAGAGCUCGUAGGCGGUCUGUCGCGUCUGCUGUGAAAACUCAGGGCUCAACCCGGAGACGCCAUCUGAUACUGCGGUGACUGGAGUCUGGUAGGGGAACACGGAAUUCCUGGUGUAGCGGUGAAAUGCGCAGAUAUCAGGAGGAACACCGAUGGCGAAGGCAGUGUUCUGGGCCAGUACUGACGCUGAGGAGCGAAAGCGUGGGGAGCAAACAGG
RNAcentral lists this ribosomal RNA (254 nucleotides) under uncultured bacterium. RNAcentral describes it as "partial 16S ribosomal RNA". It matches the Rfam family "Bacterial small subunit ribosomal RNA", at positions 524 to 776 of the family's 1533-position model. The record is from RNAcentral.